UACGUAGGUGGCAAGCGUUGUCCGGAUUUACUGGGCGUAAAGAGCGCGCAGGCGGUCGGAUAAGUCGAAUGUGAAAGCCCCCGGCUCAACUGGGGAGGGUCAUUCGAUACUGUUCGACUCGAAGGCAGGAGAGGGAAGUGGAAUUCCCGGUGUAGUGGUGAAAUGCGUAGAUAUCGGGAGGAACACCAGUGGCGAAGGCGCACACCUGGGCCGAUACUGACGCUGAGGCGCGAAAGCUAGGGGAGCAAACAGG
RNAcentral lists this ribosomal RNA (253 nucleotides) under uncultured bacterium. RNAcentral describes it as "partial 16S ribosomal RNA". It matches the Rfam family "Bacterial small subunit ribosomal RNA", at positions 524 to 776 of the family's 1533-position model. The record is from RNAcentral.